This 1552-nucleotide ribosomal RNA is filed under the name Enterobacter cloacae subsp. dissolvens. RNAcentral's name for it is "bacterial SSU rRNA". It matches the Rfam family "Bacterial small subunit ribosomal RNA". The record is from RNAcentral. Lineage: Bacteria; Pseudomonadati; Pseudomonadota; Gammaproteobacteria; Enterobacterales; Enterobacteriaceae.
UUAAAUUGAAGAGUUUGAUCAUGGCUCAGAUUGAACGCUGGCGGCAGGCCUAACACAUGCAAGUCGAACGGUAGCACAGAGAGCUUGCUCUCGGGUGACGAGUGGCGGACGGGUGAGUAAUGUCUGGGAAACUGCCUGAUGGAGGGGGAUAACUACUGGAAACGGUAGCUAAUACCGCAUAACGUCGCAAGACCAAAGAGGGGGACCUUCGGGCCUCUUGCCAUCAGAUGUGCCCAGAUGGGAUUAGCUAGUAGGUGGGGUAACGGCUCACCUAGGCGACGAUCCCUAGCUGGUCUGAGAGGAUGACCAGCCACACUGGAACUGAGACACGGUCCAGACUCCUACGGGAGGCAGCAGUGGGGAAUAUUGCACAAUGGGCGCAAGCCUGAUGCAGCCAUGCCGCGUGUAUGAAGAAGGCCUUCGGGUUGUAAAGUACUUUCAGCGGGGAGGAAGGUGUUGUGGUUAAUAACCGCAGCAAUUGACGUUACCCGCAGAAGAAGCACCGGCUAACUCCGUGCCAGCAGCCGCGGUAAUACGGAGGGUGCAAGCGUUAAUCGGAAUUACUGGGCGUAAAGCGCACGCAGGCGGUCUGUCAAGUCGGAUGUGAAAUCCCCGGGCUCAACCUGGGAACUGCAUUCGAAACUGGCAGGCUAGAGUCUUGUAGAGGGGGGUAGAAUUCCAGGUGUAGCGGUGAAAUGCGUAGAGAUCUGGAGGAAUACCGGUGGCGAAGGCGGCCCCCUGGACAAAGACUGACGCUCAGGUGCGAAAGCGUGGGGAGCAAACAGGAUUAGAUACCCUGGUAGUCCACGCCGUAAACGAUGUCGAUUUGGAGGUUGUGCCCUUGAGGCGUGGCUUCCGGAGCUAACGCGUUAAAUCGACCGCCUGGGGAGUACGGCCGCAAGGUUAAAACUCAAAUGAAUUGACGGGGGCCCGCACAAGCGGUGGAGCAUGUGGUUUAAUUCGAUGCAACGCGAAGAACCUUACCUGGUCUUGACAUCCACAGAACUUAGCAGAGAUGCUUUGGUGCCUUCGGGAACUGUGAGACAGGUGCUGCAUGGCUGUCGUCAGCUCGUGUUGUGAAAUGUUGGGUUAAGUCCCGCAACGAGCGCAACCCUUAUCCUUUGUUGCCAGCGGUUAGGCCGGGAACUCAAAGGAGACUGCCAGUGAUAAACUGGAGGAAGGUGGGGAUGACGUCAAGUCAUCAUGGCCCUUACGACCAGGGCUACACACGUGCUACAAUGGCGCAUACAAAGAGAAGCGACCUCGCGAGAGCAAGCGGACCUCAUAAAGUGCGUCGUAGUCCGGAUUGGAGUCUGCAACUCGACUCCAUGAAGUCGGAAUCGCUAGUAAUCGUAGAUCAGAAUGCUACGGUGAAUACGUUCCCGGGCCUUGUACACACCGCCCGUCACACCAUGGGAGUGGGUUGCAAAAGAAGUAGGUAGCUUAACCUUCGGGAGGGCGCUUACCACUUUGUGAUUCAUGACUGGGGUGAAGUCGUAACAAGGUAACCGUAGGGGAACCUGCGGUUGGAUCACCUCCUUACCUUAAAGAA